AGCCAAACUUCGGAAUUCUUGAUCCGAAAAUGUCUCUCUUCCAUUGCUGAUAAGAACACCUCAAUAGAAGGAGCCAAGAAAUAGUACUUUUCCUUCUCCAAGCCCUUCCCUUCAACCUCUCCUCCUCUCUCCCAGUUCCUAAAAAAUCCAUCAUCUAUCUUUGCUUCUGACAAGAGGGAACAGCCAUGAACAUUAUUUGGGUAUGUAACAUUACCAUUUCUCUUUAUUUCUUUUUUUUUGUCAAAAAUUUCUGUUUACUCUUAUGAUGUGUAUUGAUGAGCUAUAUAAAGUGCUGUUUUCUUCGUUCUAGGACUUUGGCACUCAUUGCAAGAGUCAUCUAAAUAUUCACAUUGGAUUUCUUUCCACGAGGAUUAACUAAUGGUUGAGGUAAUCCAAUUUGUGUUCAUCUUUCUUGUACGUAUUUUGAUUAAAAUUCAUUGUUUAGUAAGAAAUAAAGAACGUGAAAUUUUUUUUUGAAGUUUUGCAAUUUUCAUGGGAAUUAGAUGUUAACAACUCAGAAACUCGACCUACUUUUGUCUCCUCCUCUCUGUCAUGUUCAAUUUCGUACACAAUUUAAAAAAUUAAAAUUCACCAAGAGACUUUUGCUUCACAACAUCAAGUAUGCAUGUUUAUUGCUUUUCCGGAAAUUGUACAGGAUGACUUUCUUUUUUCAUCUUUUUGCUAAAUCAAAUGUAAUAAUUAGGAGUUUGAAAAUCUCUGCAUCUAUGUCAUCAUCCAUGUCAUAAGUCACUAAUAUGUGAUCUUGAAACCAAAUUCAAAGAAUUUCAAUUGAAACAUUAAUAUUUUGGGUAAACUUGACCUUCAAAAACCUUUACUUUGUGGAGUGACUAAGUUUAAUCCAAUCUUAACUAGUAAGGGCAGCCACGGUUUAGGUUUGAACUAUAAUCGGAUUGGAAUAGGUCAAAUGGUUUGUUGAACUAGAACGGGAAUCAGAUUUUAGAAAGUGGAAUCAAAAUCAUAACCGUGACUAAAGAUUUAGAUUUAGAAUCACCAAAAUUUUGAACCGAAACCGGACUAGUAAUUUACAACUCAUUCAGACCGUCUAAAAAAACAUUUGUUAUCUAAACUUAUUUGACCAAUUUAGAAUUUAAUAUCAAUAGUUAGCAUUUAAUAACAGCAGCUUCAAUCCUAAUCCAACAACCCAUUGUCUCAUUCCAUUAGUAAGUCUAUACUUUAUGACUAAUCUAAAUUCCAGACAAUCUUAUUAACAAUGAGAUAUUUUUCAUAAAAUUUGCAUCAUUUUUUUUUUCCUUGCACAUGAUAAAGCAACAAAGUUCUUUUUUUUUAUAUUCAUUGUCAUAUUUUCUUAAAAUCAAUUUUAUAACAAUAAGUAUUUAAACUUAACUAAAAAGGUUGUACCAUGAUCAAAAGAAACCAAAACCGGAACCAUAGGUUCAAGAAUUGUAGCUGUAACUAUCUUUAUAAGGAUCGGUUUAGAUUUCACUUUUCAAAAACAUAAGAACCAUCAGAUUUUAAAUCAAAACUGACGGUUCUAGAAUCGUGGCCAUGUUUACCAACUAGUAGUAAGUUUAAAUUGAGAUUUUCAAGUACUGAUUCAACCAAUAUUAGCUUUCUUCAUGUUUUUCCAGUGAAAUACACCAUUAGUUUGAAGUUAUUCUUUUUAAAAAAUAAAAAAUAAAGAUCUCAUAUGACUCACUUAGAUAGGGAUCAAUACAACAUGCUACAAUGAAUUAAAACUCUAACCAGUGCUUGGUGGAACAGUUACCAUCCUUGGGCCUCAACCUUUGACCAGCUCUCGUUAGGUAACCUAUAUCAUUGGCGAAUUAAUUUCAUCUUCAAUGCUGACCGGCACACCAAGGCCUCAUUGACGAAGCUAUUGUGCUAUUCCGCCUUUCAGGCACGUUCUUAUUGUUGGAUAGUCAGCGCCACAAUAAAAUGGGAUUCGGCUUAGAUAUCUCAUUUUGGUUUGAAACAACAAUUGAAACCCCUACGCAAUUGUUCAUCAAGUACCAAAAACAUCGUCAAGCUUUACCACAUCUCUAGAACCUUUUAACAAUUGUUAUCAGUUAAUUCACAUAUCAAAAUAUCUAAAUACCGAAAUCAAAAUGCAUAAUUUCUUGUAAACCUGCCAGCACAAACAAUAAUGGGAAGCUGAAAAAGUCCCAAAAAAAGGGGAUAAUUUCAGUAAUCUUCCCUGAAGUUUCUAGAAAUUUCACUAAGCUGCCUAAAAUUUUUAAAAAUUAUACUUACCUCCCCUAAUUUGCCACUUUUAAUAACCAAACCUAAAAAUAGGAUCAAAAUUUUAAUGAAUACCCUAAAAUGCCCCUAUUUCAUAAAGUUUAAUUUAUUCUUCUAAACAAUGGCACAGCAAUUUAGCACAAUUACAAAGGAAUGAGUAUCAAAUUUUUUAUGCCCAUAUUUGUUAUUUGAUAGUCAAUUACAACGAUAAAUCUCAUUAAAAUAGGUUACUUUUAAUUGUGCUUUAUUGGAGAUAGAAAUUCUUUUAAGAUGGAGAAGAAAGUGUCACCAUAAUUUUUUUUUAAUGUUUGUGGAUUAGUUGAGUGAUGGAACCACCAAAAUUUAAUAGUGAUUUUGGACCUUUUAUUUUUCAGUUAUUGUUAAUUUGGCUAGCGAAAAACAAAUACAUAAACAAACAAAAACUACAAAAGAAUUAGACGAUAUUCAAAGUUAUCAAAACAAUAUUACUAGUUUGACAUUUUAUCAUGAUGGAGCCAUAGGAACUAAUAGUACUAUGAUUUUGCUAACAAAAUAUAAGAGUCAUGGAUAAGAAGGGAAAUAGAAAAAAUAUAAAUAUAAAACCCAUCCUAUAUAUAAGCAUAGCAAAGUGACAAAUGAAAGAAUUUCAUUAGAAUGUUAAACCUAGUAUUGUCAUUUUAAGUGAACAAGGGAGGUAAGUUGUCAUUUUACAUGAACAAGAUAGGUGGAUAUAAUUUUUGAAACAUCAAGAGUGCUAAGUGAAAUUGUCGGAAACCUAAGGGGAGGUUUCUGAAAUUAUCCUCCAAAAAAAGGUGCAAAAGCUAACAUAUUGAAUUUGCACUUUUCCAAUCAAACAAAAAAGGCAAAGCUCUUUUCUUGCCCGUUCAAUAGGACUUGUGGCACCAAGAGCAGGUUGGGACAAGUAAUAUUAGUGAUUAAUUCGGAUUAAUUCCAAAUAAUACUAGACCCAUUCAGACCACCACACACCUUUUACAAUUACUCAACAAUCUUGCAAAAAUUUUGCAUGCAACCACUAUAAGGCUGAUCUGUAAUAUCGAGAGAAUCCCCAAAAUUUGCAGAAAAAAUUGCAGGGGAUUAUAUUUACUGAGAUGGUAAAGUAUGUACAACGUCUGUUUAGUAUAAAAGAAUGAUUCAACUCCAAAAAUUACGAAACAUUACCAUUUUCUUUCCCCUCUUGAGAUUUACCAUGAGAAGAACCAUCUUGUUCGCCUUGCUGUUCAAAGUGGCAGAUCUUAUCAUUGUUCUCCCCUAGCUCUUGAGAAUUUGAGUGCAAACAAUCAUCAUCAUCUCCCAUCCCACAAAGUCUGCAAGGAUUUGAGGAUCUCUGAGAGCACCAAUGGUCAGGAACACUGAGGAAAUGCGUAUCGAUAAACUUUCUGAAUCGCUUUUUGUACUCUUUGGGAGAGAUGAUAGUUGGCUGCUGGUUCUUGGGGACAAGGGAUGACUUGACCCAAUUCUCAAGUUGUUUGUCCCAGGUGUAUUGCCUCAGAUAAUCAAUGAUCCCACACACCAAUUCACGUUUCUGAGCAUCCACUCCCACUAGCAAAGAAUAAUCCAUAACAUUGAUAGACUGAAAGGAAAAAGCAAAGACAAGUAAUCAGCAGCUAAACACUGCAUCAUGCAUGACACCUGGGCAGUUGAAAGAGUAAAAUAAUCUGACAUACAGGUCAGCAUGUAGUAGCAUAGAUUACCGGAAGAAAUUAUACAAACUCACCUGGAGGAAAUUAGUGUCAUUCCAGACAGCCCGUUGCAGAAUUCGCUUUGAUUUCCUACUAACAUAGAGAGGAGAAACAUUCAUGUCAUUAACAAAGUUUUGGUCCAAAAGAACAUCAUCAGCAUUUCCUGUUGAAUUAAAUCGAGCAUGCAAGGCGCCUUUAAGAUCGUAUUGGCGUAUGAUAUUUCGACCAAAAGAAAGGUUCUCCAUCACCAUUAGAUCAUGUCUUGUCUCUUUCCCAUUUUUUGUUUGUCUAAUGGUUACCUGCAUUGCAAAAAAAUUCAUUAUGACAUUAGAGAAAAGAAAAACUUCACCUCAUUUUGCUGGCUAUACAAGAUGAUGUAAACAGACCAACCUGGUAAAUGCCAAGAAUUUUUGCAAGGCAGGUCUGGUUCCCAAGUUCAUAGCAUUCAUUCAUAUACUCGAAGUAAUUUGAAGCAAACUUCAAGAAAGCUUCAAACUCGGUCCUCUUAAUUUCUUUUAUGAUGAACCUAUCAUCUAGAGUUUUAGCAAAGAAAGAUUUACUCUUCCCACCUUUGGCAUCCCAGUUCCUGCAACGACUUAGGGAAGCAAUAUAAUCAAUUUCAGAUGGACAACAUCGAUUUCGCAGAUGGCGAAAUUGGCUGGAAUAUAAGCAUAUCACAGAGUAUUUUCGCUUUCCCGGAACUUUUCCAAUGCCCAAAGAGACUUCUGGAUGAACAGCUGCCAAAGACACCACAGAGUCCAAUAAAUCCAGACUAUCAAAGCUUGAGAAGUGCGACUCUUCUGAUGAUAUGCUAGUUGAAGAAUAAAUUCCAUCUGCAUCCAAAUAACCAGUUGAAGACCAAUGAGGGGAGGCAAGAGAAAAUAUUCGUGUUAGGCUCUGUGAAUUAUCAUUCGACGUCAUCAUCCCUUUUCCUUUCCUGAAAUCCUCAUCAAGUUCCUGACUCACAAUAGGUAGGUCCUUCAACAAGGCUAGAGCACAAGCAAUUAUGCUUGAAAAUUCAUCUUCAUAAUCUGAGACAACAUAGUCGUCCAAACCAAGAGGAAUUUGAAGUUUCGACCCCUCAUCAUUUAUCAGUUUAUAACCUGUAGUGUCUUGAGCAAAGCUAGAUACAGAAUCAAAUUUUGGGAAGUAACCUCUCCAGAGAUCAUUCAUGUAUUCAUGUUGAAUUUCUCUAAAUGGAGCCCACAUCCAGCCCUUUUCAUUUUCUAUGUUAAAAGACGACCUAAAAUGAGAUCUUACAGUCUGACAACUGUUUGAAUCAAGAACAGAACCCUCAACAUCAGUUGUAAUUGGUACUACUUUAUCUUCUUGCACUUGAACAAACUUUGGGAUAUUGUCUUGUAGAUUGUCAUCACCAUCAUGAGAGCCAUCAAAAAUAUCUGGCUUAUUUAAAGAAUCUUGAAGUGCUCCAUUUCCAAUAGUUCCUUGAACUAGUCCCUCAAUAGGAACUUCCUUUUGAAAAGAGUUUGCUUCUUCAGAUGUAACAAGCUUGAUUUCAAGACUAGGGAUGAUGUUCGAAACAUUUUCAGGAUCCUCUAUAGUUAUGUCUAGGCCAUCAGCUUUAGCUUGAGAAGUUUCCAUGCAAAUUUGUUUUGCUACUCUGCUGUCAAUGGUUUUACUCCCUGCCACAGAAAGUUCAGAUGAUAGCAGAUAAUUGAGACGCCUAUCCCAGAUGCGGGAUCCAAGCAGUAGCUCCAAUCGUAGUUUGUUUAACCUCAAAAACUUGUAAAUAGCUCCAUCCCCAUUCCCAUUCUUCAGAACAUUCCGAAUGUCAUCCUGAUUUCAGAUUAAGCAGUCCACGAAAAAAAGAAAAAGAAUAUAGGUAUUAGUUACCUAAAAUCUGCAGAAUAAAGCUAAGCAAAAUGGAACAAUACAAAAAGGGUAAGCAUUCCAAAAAUCACAAACAAAUAGAAAAUUUAAAAAGAGACUUAAUAUAUAAUCAUGCAGUUGUGAUAAGAUAGUUUAUAUAUAAUCAUUUAGAGACUUAAUAAAGAGUACAUUCACGAGUGCUUAGUUACUUUUUAACCAAAUUCCAAUCACUUCAGCAAUAAAAUCAGAUAACUAAUAGAUACAUUGGCACUUGAAGCAAAUUCAGAGCUGCAUGAUUUUGUUAGGUACUGAAUACCAAAUUGUGUAGUACUCUAAACAUAACCGCACCUCAAAUUGGGAUCUUUCCUCCUUCAACAUGUCCUCGAUAUCAGAGAAAUCUUUAAUUGUUCCCUGAAGAUUUAGAGUCAUGCCUAAAUAGCGGGAUCCUACCUCCUUCAAAGAUUUUUCUAUCUCCAGGAACAACGAAAUUCCUUUCUCGUACACCUUUCAAGACAGACAUAAUUUAAGUUAGCAGAAACUGAUCAAAAUAUAUGUGCCAUUGCUGAAAUCACUGGUACACUUGAAAAUACUUACAUCCUCAAACUCUUCCUUCAGAACCUCUCCUCUAACUGAAUUACCAAACUCCAGCUUCUCAGGUGUCAGAGAUACUGAAUAAGUAGCAACUUUUGAGUAUUUGAACAUUGCAACCAGAGGGCCCAAUCUGCAUUUGACCAAUAAUGACACGUUAUUUUCUUUUAUCUGAAUUCAAGUUAUGAUGGAAGUUUUGAUGAAAACACAACCCAAUGCAACAUAUCUAGGAUUUUUGUGAUUGGCAAUAUCAGUGCCAUUUAUAAUAAGCGUUUGCAGCUGAAAGAAAAGUUAAAACGUUUUAUGCUGUCCCCUCAACAGCCCCAGCUUACAAGGGGCCAAGACGAAACAGAGAAAACACAAGAAAAGAAAUCUCCAUGCCAGCCCAAAGAUUUAAUAAAAGGAAACAAAUAAAUCACUUCUGUAUGCCUACUUAUGUUUAAUGUUUUUGAACAACAGCAUGACAAGGAGAAAUAAACGAAUCACUACUUUAUAAGCUGCAAGUGAGUAUACCCAAAGAAGAAGAGAUAAUCCUGGUGUAAAGAAUGCCCACAACUAGAUUUUCUUCUAAAUGAGGAGGGAUUUGAAAAGCUCAGCUCCAGAAACUUUCCAAAUGAUAAACCACGAGCAGCAGUUGAUAUCAAGACUCUUUUCGUGGAUUUUGAGCUUCCAUUAUGGGAUACACAUUUACCACAGCAACUCCACAUCCAAAGUUUCCCGUCACUUUGACCAGGCAAAAUCUUAUCUGUAGGAAGACGUCUUACGUGAAUUGUGAGUUGCUUAUUAUGAUGCGCAUAGUAAUAAAAAUGGGCUUCUGGUAGUUGACCACAAGUCUUGCACUGCAGCCUCUGUAAAAGCCAACAAUUUCUGUUGAGCAUAAAAAAUAAAGCUAACUUCUGUUUUUUUAACUUUUUAAUUGAACAUAAUUUAUACUCAAAACUGUACAGUACAGAAAGUACAUCUUUAUUCAGAAAGUUCAACAAUUAUCCUUGCAGCUUUGAGAAAGAAACAAUUACCCUACCAACAUGCCACCAAAUACCUAAUUACCAUGAAAAAAUUAGAUGCUCUAAACAAAACACGGUAGCAAAUGUCCUCUCUACCAAGUCCCAUUACCACCACUAUGCCAGAGUGCAUCAUGCAGCCAUGCAAAAACUAAUAAAAUGUGAACAAAGCAACAAAUAAAAGCUUUCAAAGGACAAGAUGUAGGCAAAAUGUAAAACCUGAUUGAGUAAAUUUUCGUGCAAAAACUUUCCAAGCGGAACAUCAAAAUUCCUGUAGAACUUGAUAUGAGAAAAAUGACUAUGCUCACACAUGGUCCCUCUAGAAGAAUUUCGGCUUGACAUCAAAACCAAGAUACUCUCAGAAUCCAAAACAGCUUUGAUGUCAUCCUUACUAGGGAUAUGUUCUUCAUAAUCUCCACUACUCAUUUGUGUUUCAAAAGGCAUUGGUAGAGGAUGUGACUGUGGACGAUCAUGUCCUUUCCCAUCAUCAGCAGUAAUCUUAAUUUCUGUAUCACAGUGAUCAAUGGUCUUCUGUGAGAUAGGAAUCUGAACAUCAGUUUGCCCCUGAUCAUCAGAUGUCCUCCCAUCAAAGCCGAAGUAUGAAGACAUAGCCUGACUUGAACUAGAGAUAAGAGGAAAAUUAUCCCCCAUAACUUUUUUCAAAGAAGCUGAGAGAGAUGACAGCCCCGAAAGAAUGAGUGGAUUAUAUGACUCAAAUGAAAAUGACAAAUUAGCUUCGGGCUCCGAAUUCAAAUAUUGGGUAACUUCUUCACCAAACUCAUCAGAAAUGGGAAUUGUUGAUGAUGCACCAGAAUCAAUAACAGGAUCACCAUUGCAGGAAGUUGGAUCACUAGCUCCAUGGGGUGAUAAUUCUUGAUUGGUUAGUGCAAGGUUCACUACUUCACUAAUAGGAAUAGUUGAGAACAUUGCCCUCUGAUCUAAAAGGAAGUAAGUCUCCAAGAUAAAAUGAUAUGCCAUGACAACUGCACAGCGGACCACACAUUUGAUUCUCUUCAGUUGAUCACUGUCAGCUCCCAUCAACAAAAUCUGUCCCAUAUUUCAAAUACAAGUUAAGAUAUUUCAAUAUACUGCACUGCAUCACUCUGAAGACUUUUGAUGCUCAAUUACAAUUAAUUCUAGUAACAUGAUGGAAACACCAAGCAAAUUAACCACAAUGCUGGUUUUCAAUUGAGGCAUGACCAUUUAGUUGCUAGGGUGAAGCUAAAAUUUCCAUCAGAAAUGGGAUACAAACGUAGUACUUAAUAUUGGCCCUAAAACAAUUAAGAAAUUAUUAAUUCCAAAGACCAAAUGACAUGUAUAAUACACUACCAUUAAUCACGGCAUCCUUCCCAACAGGAAAUCAUAAUUUUGCAGAUAAUGACAGAAAUGUACAAUAUCUAACAUCAAGGUUUACUUUCACAUGUAUAGAAAUGUCAUCAUUCAAGUAAACAAAUCAGAAGGGACAAAAUCUAGGACAAAAUGGAAUUAUAAAGACAUCUUAAAGUUGGGAAAGUACUUGAUAAAGUAGACAAAAAAAGGCACCACAAAUCUCCCUUCCAACAAGAGAAUGUGAAAGACACAUAAAUGUUCUUUAUCUACUUCAAAACAUUAUGCAGGAAAACCAACUGAGGCAUAACAUUCAAGGUGCAACAAAAUAUAUACUGCAGCUGAGCUGUUCUAACUCAAGGCCCAUACCAAAUUACAAGUCCAAGCCCAGAAGUAGUUUACUGUUCUAUCUGGCUACUUCAAGCUUUGUUGGCACAUGAACUUGCAAGACCUAAGGAUUAUUCUAGUCAAACCUCAAGAGCUAUGCUCUUUCUAUUUAAUAGCCCAAGAUGAUGUAACCCAGGAUAUUAAUUCAUGGACCAAGUUAUAUCAACUCAUUGGCAUAUAUUAACUACAUCUCCUUUAUAAAGGAGAUUCAAGUCACUGAGGAAUGAGAUUUUUAGCAGAAAGAGGUUUUAGCUUUAAGAUACUCUUUGAUACUAUUGCUUCAAAGGAGAGAUCACUGGCUGCUAUGAGAUGUGAUUCCAAAGAUCCCUCAAAUCCCAUUGCUGAAAAUCAACUUCAAAAUCAGUUAUCACUACAAUUUAUCCCAUCCCUGAAAACUUAGAAAUUAGAUCUCAGCUUUAUAUUCUAGAUAAACGUCUGCAUCAAAUUUACUAGGUCAGGAAUACAGAACUUAAGGUUGCCAAAAUAGUAAAAGGUAAGCUCAUCUAAAACUAGCAAUCAUAUAUCAUGCCAUAAACUACUAAAAACAUUGUCCAGUUUUUGGAAAGCAUAAACACAGCACAUCUUCUUAAAUAAAAAGUUCUUCACAAAACCCAAAAUUACAUAAAAAUUGAAUUAUUCAAUAAAUAUCUGCUACAUGUACUGUAUUUAGCAUCUUAACUUAUCAUUUGUUUGACAAGAAGAAAAUUCAUAAUAAAAGUGUUAGCAGAAGUGAAUCCUGUAUUCCUGUUCCCUUUCACAAGAGGCAUUUUGCAUAAAAAUGCCAUACCCCUUGAACACCCCCCCCCCCCCAACAAAAAAAUCUCUGAUAUCAACCAUCAUUGCUCCAAAGAAUGGAAAGCUUACAUAUUCAAGUACUCCUUAUGCAUCAGUUGCAUAAUAAAAACUUAUUUAAGAGCUUCUAUGCUACUAGUUAGCAUGUUACAUGCACAUCUACUGAUUUCAAAUCAAAAUUGAACUUCUGCACCAAAUUUUUUCAAUCUACUGGCCAAAUUAUUAUCUUAACUAGUGACAAACAAGUGAAAACAUAACAGGUAUCUAUGCAAUCUAAUGGAAGCCUCUAGAUCUAGCCAAAAGAAUAAAAAAUAAGUUUAUAUAAUAAUGAUUAAGCAUUGCACGAUCUGAUUUGUCUUUUGACCACAAGGCAGAUGUACACAGCAACCAAGAUGAGUGCAGAAUGUACUUUGGGUCAAACAACGAACAGCAGAAAUAGAUGCAGUGCUAACUCUGAAAUUGAUCGACAAUAUCAGAGUCUCUGUGUCAGAAAUAAUUUCUAGUUAUAAUGUUUCCAAAUCAAUCAUUCAUGAGAAAGAAUAUAUCCUUCAGAAAAUUUAACUGAGGAAAUAGAGGGACAGUUAGAUAUGUAUCUAUAUCUACUUCAAAAGACAUUAUUUAGUGGACUUUAGAAGUUUCCCUACCUUCAAAAAAAUAAAUACAAAGAUAAGCCAAAGCACUCAACUAACCAAUGACUUUCUUCACAACAAGAAUCCAGGCCAAAAUUUAACUCAAGGAAAGAGUAUCAAAAUUUUGGAAUUCCUGAGUUCUGGAUUUUCUAAAAUCUUUAUCAAUUGUUGUGCACUUUUAGGUAAAAACCCUAUUUUACUUUUCAAAAGGUUUGUUCUGCUCACAAAGCACUGAGGGGUAUCAGCCUUGAACACAAAGAAAGAGAAGCCAAUUACUUAUUAACAUAUAAUACUCCAAAGUUUCUCAAACGCUUCUCAACAGUUCUUCCACCCCAUGGAGAACUUUUGGGUUCCUAGAAUCCAAAAGGUGCAUCUAAGACCACUGUCUCCCAUAUGAGAGUCAUCUUCUUCUAGUACAGGCAAAAAUUUUUGGAAACAAAACAUAGACAGUGAAAUUUGUAAACAUUUCAAUUUACUUUUGGGCAAUGACAAGUGGAUUUGCACCAUUAGUAUUUCUCAUGGCCAUCCAGCACUAAGCAAACAGUUGACUUAAACAUGACAAUGCAUAUCGCAAUAUAUCCAAUCAUUCUAAAAUAUCUUGUUUGAACAAAAACCAUUCUAACUUCAAUUUUCAAGACUAUGUUCUCCUAGUAUUGCAAUUCCUCUCAUUUCAUAAUUUUUGGCAGUAAAAUGAAGACUUAGAUAACCAGGGAUUUUGUGUGGCAUGUGGUCGAAUAUGCCCAUGUGCAGAAAAAGAAAGCUUCAAAAACAGCACGGAAAGUUUUGAUGACAUCUUUGAAAGAGAAUUUGUUAAUAUCCAAUCUUUGGGGUUGUGGAACUCAUCAUCCAAAAAACUCUGAAG
RNAcentral lists this long non-coding RNA (11314 nucleotides) under Coffea arabica (coffee). RNAcentral's name for it is "long non-coding RNA (CARA_LNC006869)". Lineage: Eukaryota; Viridiplantae; Streptophyta; Magnoliopsida; Gentianales; Rubiaceae. The record is from RNAcentral.